RNAcentral lists this non-coding RNA (796 nucleotides) under Phryganistria guangxiensis. Lineage: Eukaryota; Metazoa; Arthropoda; Insecta; Phasmatodea; Phasmatidae. The record is from RNAcentral.
UGAUAUUUAAUUUGGUUCUGGUUAUAAUUUUAAUUAAUUUUGGGAUUUAUAUACAUGUAAGGUUUUACUAUUGAUUAUAUUAUAGAUUGAUUAUAAUGGUUUAAAAUGCAGUGUUUAGUUUUAAAAAUAAAUUUGUUUUUGAUUUGGAUAUUCCCUAUUAUAUUGUAAUAUUUUGUGCCAGCAUACGCGGUUAUACAAAAAAUGUAAUUUAAUUUUAUUGGUUUAAUAGUAGUUAAUUUUUAUUUAUAAUUUAUUUUUUAAGUUUUUAGGUGAAAUUUAAAUUUUAAUUAAUUUUAUUUAGGUUCUUCUAAAUAUAAGCGGUAAACUAGGAUUAGAUACCCUAUUAUUUUAUAUGUAAAUAUUUAUACCUAGGUAAUAAUAGUUAUGUUCUUUAAACCUAAAGAAUUUGGCGGUGUUUUAAGUCUAUUCAGAGGAAUUUGUCCCGUAAUCGAUAAUCCCCGUUUUAUCUUACUUUAUUUUGUUUAAUUUUAUGUUCAGUUUGUAUACCGCCGUUAUAAGUUUAUUUUUUAAGAAUUAAAAUUUACUUUAUAUUUAUUUAAUAGUAUUUCAGGUCAAGGUGCAGCUAAUAGUUAAGUGGAGGUGAAUUACAAUAUUAUUAUUAAUAAUACGAAUUUAUAAUUGAGAUAAUUAUAUUGAAGGUGGAUUUGAUAGUAAUUUAAUUAAUAUUAAUUUUUUGAUUAUUUAGCUCUAAAAUAAGUACAUAUUGCCCGUCACUCUCAAUUAGUUGAGAUAAGUCGUAACAUAGUAGAUGUACUGGAAAGUGUAUCUAGUUAGU